This is a long non-coding RNA of Cyprinus carpio (common carp), 173 nucleotides long. RefSeq lists it as uncharacterized. The transcript has 4 exons. The record is from RefSeq and is a predicted model, not a curated record. Lineage: Eukaryota; Metazoa; Chordata; Actinopteri; Cypriniformes; Cyprinidae.
UCCGUCCCUGCUAUCCCGCGCCCUCCCGGGUCUGUCCCAGCCCAGUUUUCCUCCUGCUCCGUCGGUUGUGUUCGGCACCCCUCCGCCGCAGAUGAACCCCGCCGCCCAACCCCGACAGUUUGCCUCAGGUCCUAGAGCUUUACCACAACAGGGAGGAUUCAGGUCACUGCAGG